GCGGGUGUAGCUCAGUUGUUUAGAGCGCAUCCUUGCCAAGGAUGAGGCCCCGGGUUAGAGUCCCGGUACCCGCACCA
This 77-nucleotide transfer RNA is filed under the name Candidatus Saccharimonadota bacterium. RNAcentral describes it as "tRNA-Gly". It matches the Rfam family "tRNA". Rfam says of the family: Transfer RNA (tRNA) molecules are approximately 80 nucleotides in length. The record is from RNAcentral. RNAcentral also lists the same sequence under 1 other name. Lineage: Bacteria; Candidatus Saccharimonadota.